AGUCGGAAUUCUGGUGGGUUUUCUUUGUUUUCUCUCAUCCUUUAAUUGUUUUGGUUGGUGGAACUGGAAGGGGGAUCAAAAAAACAAAAAAGUUAAGAACCAGAACCAGAUGAAAUCAAUCAAGUUAUCAAGGGAUGGAUCAGUUGGAUACCAAAAAGAUUAUGACCAGUUUUAGUGUUCUGUGCGCAAAAUGGUGGGCACUUUUGUACCGUGCUGAGGGACAGGCUGCAAAAGCUCUGAUAACUCUGCAAAAGUCGAAAGAUUUUAUGCGAAUCUGAACGUAAGGACCCUGGUGCAGCAAUGGGGGGCCAAAAAAGAUCAAUCUGCCCAUCCAUCCCAAAGGGAAAAAAAAAAAAAA
This is a long non-coding RNA of Theobroma cacao (cacao), 358 nucleotides long. RefSeq lists it as uncharacterized. The record is from RefSeq and is a predicted model, not a curated record. Lineage: Eukaryota; Viridiplantae; Streptophyta; Magnoliopsida; Malvales; Malvaceae.